RNAcentral lists this non-coding RNA (29 nucleotides) under Mus musculus (house mouse). Lineage: Eukaryota; Metazoa; Chordata; Mammalia; Rodentia; Muridae. The record is from RNAcentral.
UGUGAUGCCAGGAAACUCUGUUAAAUGGU